Molecule: long non-coding RNA, 640 nt
Filed under: Homo sapiens (human)
Lineage: Eukaryota; Metazoa; Chordata; Mammalia; Primates; Hominidae
Description: long non-coding RNA NONHSAT210838
Source: RNAcentral
UAUUGUUUUUCCUAUUGAGAAUGUCAAAUUAUAAGCUAUAAAUUCAAGGGAUAAUUUUGUAUUGUUAAUGUCAGAGAAAUGCUUUUUGAUUUUAGUUUGUUUAGUCUCAGUAUGAGUUACUUUUGGGAUACUUUAAUAUAAUAAUUCUGGCACAGAAUCUACUACAGAUUUCAGUGUUCUCUAUUUUCAUUUCACUCAAUGUAUUAAACACAGAUUAAUUGAGGCUGAAUUGCAUGUAGUCUAAGAUGCCAAAUACUUGCAUAGAAAGAAUUCAUAUUGAGAAUGAAAAGUAAUUCUGCUAAGAAAAGAACUGUUAAAACAACGAGGAGUAAUUACAUAUAUUUUUUACUUUAAAAUGCAGAAAAAAAUAUGUGCCAAAAUUCUGUAACCAUAUUUUUUCAAUUAUAAAACCAAUAUAAACAAAAAUACAUGUCUGAAUAGUAUUGUGGCUCUUUACCCGUAUGAAAGUGUUUAAACCAUCAAGUGAUAAAAUUUAGGUGAAAAGACGUUAUAAGUUAAAAUUCUGUAUAAAUUAAGAAUAGCUUUACUAGUAAAUUUUAAUAUUGUACAUAUGUUGUCAGAAGUGAUUAAGGUAAUUACAUACUCCAAUUAUUUUCCUUUUUUUGCAAAUAUAUCCACU